CAGUAGCCGCGGUAAUACGGAGGGUGCAAGCGUUAUCCGGAUUCACUGGGUUUAAAGGGUGCGUAGGCGGAUCUGUAAGUCAGUGGUGAAAUCUCCGGGCUUAACCUGGAAACUGCCGUUGAUACUAUAGGUCUUGAAUUUUGUGGAGGUUAGCGGAAUAUGUCAUGUAGCGGUGAAAUGCAUAGAUAUGACAUAGAACACCAAUUGCGAAGGCAGCUGGCUACACAACUAUUGACGCUGAGGCACGAAAGCGUGGGGAUCAAACAGGAUUAGAUACCCCCGUAGUCCCUGUCUCUUAUAC
Molecule: ribosomal RNA, 301 nt
Filed under: uncultured bacterium
Lineage: Bacteria
Description: partial 16S ribosomal RNA
Rfam family: Bacterial small subunit ribosomal RNA
Source: RNAcentral